UUGAAUGCCUGAGACAGCAGGUGCUUUUUAAGCGUAAGGUGAAACCGCCUGCCGAGGAACGUAUAAAUUCGAUUCUUUUUUUGAUGAGAUUUUACAGAGCCUUUCUGUCUUGGGACAGGGAGGCUUUUUUU
This 131-nucleotide small RNA is filed under the name uncultured Enterocloster sp. RNAcentral describes it as "Ribosomal protein L10 leader". It matches the Rfam family "Ribosomal protein L10 leader", at positions 15 to 130 of the family's 138-position model. From Rfam's summary of the family: This family is a putative r-protein leader autoregulatory structure found in B. subtilis and other low-GC Gram-positive bacteria. Lineage: Bacteria; Bacillati; Bacillota; Clostridia; Lachnospirales; Lachnospiraceae. The record is from RNAcentral.